Molecule: ribosomal RNA, 208 nt
Filed under: uncultured bacterium
Lineage: Bacteria
Description: partial 16S ribosomal RNA
Rfam family: Bacterial small subunit ribosomal RNA
Source: RNAcentral
UGCGUAGGUGGUUUCUUAAGUCAGAGGUGAAAGGCUACGGCUCAACCGUAGUAAGCCUUUGAAACUGGGAAACUUGAGUGCAGGAGAGGAGAGUGGAAUUCCUAGUGUAGCGGUGAAAUGCGUAGAUAUUAGGAGGAACACCAGUUGCGAAGGCGGCUUUCUGGACUGUAACUGACACUGAGGCACGAAAGCGUGGGGAAGCAAACAG